AGCGAACGCUGGCGGCAGGCCUAACACAUGCAAGUCGAGCGCCCCGCAAGGGGAGCGGCAGACGGGAGAGUAACACGUGGGAACGUACCCUUCAGUUCGGAACAACCCAGGGAAACUUGGGCUAAUACCGAAUACGUCCGUAAGGAGAAAGAUUUAUCGCUGAAGGAUCGGCCCGCGUCUGAUUAGCUUGUUGGUGAGGUAACGGCUCACCAAGGCUACGAUCAGUAGCUGGUCNGAGAGGAUGAUCAGCCUCACUGGGACUGAGACACGGCCCAGACUCCUACGGGAGGCAGCAGUGGGGAAUAUUGCGCAAUGGGCGAAAGCCUGACGCAGCGACGCCGCGUGUGGGAUGACGGUCUUCGGAUUGUAAACCAACUGUCGGGAGGGACGAAUACGCCGCAAGGCGGGUGACGGUACCUCCAAAGGAAGCACCGGCUAACUCCGUGCCAGCCGCCGCAGUAAU
RNAcentral lists this ribosomal RNA (463 nucleotides) under uncultured bacterium. RNAcentral describes it as "bacterial SSU rRNA". It matches the Rfam family "Bacterial small subunit ribosomal RNA", at positions 29 to 524 of the family's 1533-position model. The record is from RNAcentral.